GACGAACGCUGGCGGCGUGCUUAACACAUGCAAGUCGAACGGAAAGGCCCUGCUUUUGUGGGGUGCUCGAGAGGCGAACGGGUGAGUAAAACGUGAGUAACAUGUCCUUGACUUUGGGAUAACUUCAGGAAACUGGGGCUAAUACCGGAUAGGAGCUAUUGCUGCAUGGUGGGGGUUGGAAAGUUUCGGCGGUUGGGGAUGGACUCGCGGCUUAUCAGCUUGUUGGUGAGGUAGGGGCUUACCAAGGCUUUGACGGGUAGGCGGCCUGAGAGGGUGACCGGCCACAUUGGGACUGAGAUACGGACCAGUCUCCUACGUGAGGCAGCAGUGGGGAAUAUUGCAGAAUGGGCCGAAGCCUGAUGCAGCGACGCCGCGUGCGGGAUAACGGCCUUCUGGGUAUAAACCGCUUUCGCCUUUGACGAAGCGUUAGUGACGGUAAUGGGUAAAGAAGCACCGGCUAACUACGUG
RNAcentral lists this ribosomal RNA (468 nucleotides) under uncultured bacterium. RNAcentral describes it as "partial 16S ribosomal RNA". It matches the Rfam family "Bacterial small subunit ribosomal RNA", at positions 28 to 507 of the family's 1533-position model. The record is from RNAcentral.